UUGAAAGGGAAACGAUUGAAGUCAGUCGUACUUGCGGGUAAUCAGCCUUUUGGGUGCGAUUCUGUGGAGUGUGGAGAGUUAAACGCCUUCAUGCCUUGCGUAUUCGUGCACUUUGGGUGUACUUGCCCGUGUGGUAGGUUAACAUCAAUUUUGAUCAUCAUAAAAUGGUUGGAGGAAUGUAGCUUCGAUCUUGUAUUGAAGUGUUAUAGCCUUCGGCAGAUGUGAUGAUCGGGAUUGAGGAUUGCAACGGAUACCCUUCGGGGCUACCUGUCUGAUCUCUGAUCGUUGCUCUGGUGUCGAAAGCUUGCUUACGGUCAUCGAAGUCGAUGGUCAACAGGUUAGAACGGGUUAAAUUCGUUAAGGAUGUUGACGUA
This 374-nucleotide ribosomal RNA is filed under the name uncultured Glomus. Its description in RNAcentral is "LSU rRNA". The record is from RNAcentral. Lineage: Eukaryota; Fungi; Glomeromycota; Glomeromycetes; Glomerales; Glomeraceae.